UACAUACUAGCUCACUGGUAGAGCAAUCGACUUGAAAUCGAUGUGUCGCGGGUUCGAUUCCCGUGUAUGAAC
RNAcentral lists this transfer RNA (72 nucleotides) under Coleofasciculus chthonoplastes PCC 7420. Its description in RNAcentral is "Microcoleus chthonoplastes PCC 7420 tRNA". It matches the Rfam family "tRNA". From Rfam's summary of the family: Transfer RNA (tRNA) molecules are approximately 80 nucleotides in length. Their secondary structure includes four short double-helical elements and three loops (D, anti-codon, and T loops). Further hydrogen bonds mediate the characteristic L-shaped molecular structure. tRNAs have two regions of fundamental functional importance: the anti-codon, which is responsible for specific mRNA codon recognition, and the 3' end, to which the tRNAs corresponding amino acid is attached (by aminoacyl-tRNA synthetases). tRNAs cope with the degeneracy of the genetic code in two manners: having more than one tRNA (with a specific anti-codon) for a particular amino acid; and 'wobble' base-pairing, i.e. permitting non-standard base-pairing at the 3rd anti-codon position. The record is from Rfam by way of RNAcentral. Lineage: Bacteria; Bacillati; Cyanobacteriota; Cyanophyceae; Coleofasciculales; Coleofasciculaceae.